UACAUGGUACUGUCGCUAAUAAUGCCAGC
This 29-nucleotide non-coding RNA is filed under the name Bombyx mori (domestic silkworm). Lineage: Eukaryota; Metazoa; Arthropoda; Insecta; Lepidoptera; Bombycidae. The record is from RNAcentral.